This 822-nucleotide ribosomal RNA is filed under the name Triticum aestivum (bread wheat). RNAcentral's name for it is "partial small subunit ribosomal RNA". Lineage: Eukaryota; Viridiplantae; Streptophyta; Magnoliopsida; Poales; Poaceae. The record is from RNAcentral.
AUGAUGAGCGGCGGCGUCAGCGGCAUGGAGUCGUCGUCCUCAUCCGGGAGCUCCUCUGGUUCGGCUGCCGGGGCGGGGGUGGCGCCGUUCGUGGCCAAGACUUACGGGAUGGUGGACGACCGGCCCACCGACGCCGUCGUCGCGUGGGGGCCCGCCGGCAACAGCUUCGUCGUCGCCGACCCCUUCGCCUUCUCGGAGAUGCUGCUGCCCGCGCACUUCAAGCAUUCCAACUUCUCCAGCUUCGUCCGGCAGCUCAACACCUACGGCUUCCGCAAGGUGGACCCGGACCGGUGGGAGUUCGCGCAUGCCUCCUUCCUCCGCGGCCAGACGCACCUCCUGCGCCACAUCGUCCGGCGCCAGAGCAGCGGUACCGGAGGCAGGCGCGGCAAGGACGACCGCGAAGAUGAAGACGGCAGCAGCGCGAUGUUAGCCAUGGAGGUGGUCCAGCUGAGGCGGGAGCAGAGGGCCACCGAGGAGCGCGUGGCGGCGAUGUGGCGCCGGGUGCAGGAGACGGAGCGCCGGCCCAAGCAGAUGCUCGCCUUCCUGCUCAAGGUGGUCGGCGACCCCGACAUGGUGCGCCGCCUCGCAGGCAGCGGCCAGGACGAGGACGCGCGGGUCAACAGGCCGCGGCUGCUUCUCGACAGCAGGGAAGAACAGAGGAUGCCCGUCGACGGGCAGUCGUACCACAAUCACAGCAACCUGAACAUGGAGGAGGCCUAUGUGCUGGAGCCCAGCGUGGAAUUGUACUACGCCGGAGGCGACGUGCAGGCGGACGGCGGCGGACACCCGCCGUACGCGUUCCACGUCAACAGCGGCUACUGA